GUGUACUUAGCUAUCAGUGGUUAGAGCAUCCGCCUAGUGUCUGGAGUUCACAGGUUCAAAUCCUGCAGUGUGCA
RNAcentral lists this transfer RNA (74 nucleotides) under Cronartium ribicola 11-2. Its description in RNAcentral is "tRNA-Thr (AGT) (tRNA-Thr-AGT-132-1)". It matches the Rfam family "tRNA". Rfam says of the family: Transfer RNA (tRNA) molecules are approximately 80 nucleotides in length. The record is from RNAcentral. Lineage: Eukaryota; Fungi; Basidiomycota; Pucciniomycetes; Pucciniales; Coleosporiaceae.